GAUGAACGCUGGCGGCGUGCCUAAUACAUGCAAGUCGAGCGAACAGAUGAGGUGCUUGCUCUUCUGACGUUAGCGGCGGACGGGUGAGUAACACGUGGAUAACCUACCUAUCAGACGGGGAUAACUUCGGGAAACCGGAGCUAAUACCGGAUAAUAUAUUGAACCGCAUGGUUCGAUAGUGAAAGACGGUUUUAGCGUCAGUUAUAGGAUGACCCGGGCGGCCUUAAUUAGUUGGUAAGGUAACGGCUUACCAAGGCAACGAUGCUUAGCCGACCUGAGAGGGUGAUCGGCCACACUGGAACUGGGACCCGGUCCAGAUCCCUACGGGAGGCAGCAGUAGGGAAUCUUCCGCAAUGGGCGAAAGCCUGACGGAGCAACGCCGCGUGAGUGAUGAAGGUCUUCGGAUCGUAAAACUCUGUUAUUAGGGAAGAACAAAUGUGUAAGUAACGAUGCACGUCUUGACGGUACCAAAUCAGAAAGCCACGGCUAACUACGU
RNAcentral lists this ribosomal RNA (496 nucleotides) under uncultured bacterium. RNAcentral's name for it is "partial 16S ribosomal RNA". It matches the Rfam family "Bacterial small subunit ribosomal RNA", at positions 28 to 506 of the family's 1533-position model. The record is from RNAcentral.